RNAcentral lists this ribosomal RNA (560 nucleotides) under uncultured archaeon. Its description in RNAcentral is "bacterial SSU rRNA". It matches the Rfam family "Bacterial small subunit ribosomal RNA", at positions 373 to 960 of the family's 1533-position model. The record is from RNAcentral.
GGGCGAAGCUGAUCCAUCAUACCGCGUGAGUGAAGAAGGCCUUANGGUUGUAAAGCUCUUUCAGCAGGGAAAAUAAUGAUGGUACCUGCAGAAGAAGUUCCGGCUAACUCCGUGCCAGCAGCCGCGGUAAUACGGAGGGAACUAGCGUUGUUCGGAUUUACUGGGCGUAAAGGGCGCGUAGGCGGUUUAGUAAGUUAGAAGUGAAAGCCCGGGGCUUAAUCCCGGAACUGCUUCUAAAACUACUAGGCUAGAGUGCGGGAGAGGAUAAUGGAAUUCCUAGUGUAGAGGUGAAAUUCUUAGAUAUUAGGAGGAACACCGGUGGCGAAAGCGAUUAUCUGGAACGCAACUGACGCUGAGGCGCGAAAGCGUGGGGAGCAAACAGGAUUAGAUACCCUGGUAGUCCACGCUGUAAACGAUGAAUGCUAGAUAUCGGAUUUAUUCGGUGUCGAAGAUAACUUGAUAAGCAUUCCGCCUGGGGAGUACGGUCGCAAGAUUAAAACUCAAAGGAAUUGACGGGGGCUCGCACAAGCGGUGGAGUAUGUGGUUUAAUUCGAAGCAAC